This is a non-coding RNA of Petromyzon marinus (sea lamprey), 542 nucleotides long. NCBI's taxonomy places the organism in Eukaryota, Metazoa, Chordata, Hyperoartia, Petromyzontiformes, Petromyzontidae. The record is from RefSeq and is a predicted model, not a curated record.
AGGUGGGAGGCCAGCACCACGUCCGGCCGCCUUUGUGUCCCCAGUGGCGAUGUUUAAACACCGCUUUUGAGCCUGAUAAGUUGUCAUCACGAGCAGCAUCGGCUUCAUAAACUUCAUAGCCACGAUCAUCAUCGAUUGUGUGAACUUUAUUUGUUUGACCCACAGAUGACAGCCGGUCAUCAUCGACCAAGAUCAGUCCACUGCUGGAUGAAGGCCUCCCCAAGCCGUCACUCACGAUCCUGCGAUCGACUCAAGUCAAUUCGACCGAGCCCCUUCGACCGAACGCCAACAACAGCCACACGUCGGAGCAGCCUCAAGCCCAGGAGGAUUUCAUUCACAGCACAAAAGCCUUGCGGCUGGUGGCAUCUUCUGCAGUGAGCGAUGACAGCCGGUCAUCAUCGACCAAGAUGAGUCCACUGCUGGACGAAGGCCUCCCCAAGCCGUCGGCAUCACUCACGACCCUGCGAUCGGCUCAAGUCAAUUCCACCGAGCCCCUUCAACCGAACGCAAACAACAGCCACGUGCCGGACGACGCUCACGGC